AUUGAACGCUGGCGGAAUGCUUUACACAUGCAAGUCGAGCGGCAGCGCGGCCUUCGGGCUGGCGGCGAGCGGCGAACGGGUGAGUAAUGCAUCGGAACAUGCCCAGUCGUGGGGGAUAACACUUCGAAAGAAGUGCUAAUACCGCAUACGUCCUGAGGGGGAAAGCGGGGGAUCGCAAGACCUCGCGCGAUUGGAGUGGCCGAUGUCAGGUUAGCUAGUUGGUGGGGUAAAGGCCUACCAAGGCGACGAUCUGUAGCUGGUCUGAGAGGAUGAUCAGCCACACUGGGACUGAGACACGGCCCAGACUCCUACGGGAGGCAGCAGUGGGGAAUUUUGGACAAUGGGGGCAACCCUGAUCCAGCCAUUCCGCGUGAGUGAAGAAGGCCUUCGGGUUGUAAAGCUCUUUCGGCAGGAACGAAACGGUGGGCUCUAACAUAGUCCGCUAAUGACGGUACCUGAAGAAGAAGCACCGGCUAACUACGUG
Molecule: ribosomal RNA, 484 nt
Filed under: uncultured bacterium
Lineage: Bacteria
Description: partial 16S ribosomal RNA
Rfam family: Bacterial small subunit ribosomal RNA
Source: RNAcentral